Molecule: non-coding RNA, 29 nt
Filed under: Rattus norvegicus (Norway rat)
Lineage: Eukaryota; Metazoa; Chordata; Mammalia; Rodentia; Muridae
Source: RNAcentral
UGGGCCUUGUGUCUAUCCUUGGGCAGCUU